AUGAAUUGAUAAAAUAAUCAACUUUGUUUCAUCAAAUAACAGUCACCUACUAUACCGUUAUUUCUUAAUAUAUUUCCCCAAUUUUCCAGAAAAUCUACCUUUAACUCUGCAUGAUAAAACCACGCUCAUCACUCUUUCAAACCCCUUCUCUUUAUAUCUAAUGCCUACACUUCUAUGCCUCCAUCAUCCAUUCACGUCCUCAUUCAUGCCAUAACAACCCACACACAAACUCUCCCUGUAUGUUAAUUUCCAUCUCCCAUAACUAUGCAUUUUUUUUAACGUAUAUACCUAAGCCUUUAAUGGUCGCAUGAUAUAUUUUCUCAUAAGAACCGAAACAACAGUGUGAUUCCACCAAGACAACAAUCUUACAGAAAACAAAGCCUAGUUUAGCAUUUUAUUCUAUGUGCUCAUGAUCACCAACAUCCCAAUAAACCAAAACAAUAAUAUACAAACUCAUAAAUAUAAAGCUGUACUACAAAGAAACUCAGGUUAACUCCCCUACCUCAAAGGAUCCAAGCAUUCUUUCUAGUCUUACGUUGUAGUCCCAAACUCUCCCUUUCAAGCUUUCCCUUCUUCUCCAAUGGCUUCACGCAGUGCACCCACAACUUCCUUACUAUUCUCUCUUCUUUGAUGCCCUCUUUCUAUUAUCCCCCC
This 654-nucleotide long non-coding RNA is filed under the name Vigna radiata. RNAcentral's name for it is "long non-coding RNA (VRAD_LNC002653)". The record is from RNAcentral. Lineage: Eukaryota; Viridiplantae; Streptophyta; Magnoliopsida; Fabales; Fabaceae.